AUUGCCUUAGUAACGGCGAGUGAAGCGGCAAAAGCUCAAAUUUGAAAUCUGGUACCUUUGGUGCCCGAGUUGUAAUUUGGAGAGGGCAACUUUGGGACCGUUCCUUGUCUAUGUUCCUUGGAACAGGACGUCAUAGAGGGUGAGAAUCCCGUGUGGCGAGGAGUGCGGUUCUAUGUAAAGUGCCUUCGAAGAGUCGAGUUGUUUGGGAAUGCAGCUCUAAGUGGGUGGUAAAUUCCAUCUAAAGCUAAAUAUUGGCGAGAGACCGAUAGCGAACAAGUACAGUGAUGGAAAGAUGAAAAGAACUUUGAAAAGAGAGUGAAAAAGUACGUGAAAUUGUUGAAAGGGAAGGGCAUUUGAUCAGACAUGGUGUUUUGCGCCCUCUGCUCCUUGUGGGUGGGGGAAUCUCGCAGUUCACUGGGCCAGCAUCAGUUUUGGUGGCAGGAUAAAUCCGUAGGAAUGUAACUUGCUUCGGGAAGUAUUAUAGCCUAUGGGAAUACUGCCAGCUGGGACUGAGGACUGCGACGUAAGUCAAGGAUGCUGGCAUAAUGGUUAUAUGCCGCCCGUCUUGAAACACGGACCAAGGAGUCUAACGUCUAUGCAAGUGUUUGGGUGUAAAACCCAUACGCGUAAUGAAAGUGAACGUAGGUUGGGGCCUCGCAAGAGGUGCACAAUCGACCGAUCCUGAUGUCUUCGGAUGGAUUUGAGUAAGAGCAUAGCUGUUGGGACCCGAAAGAUGGUGAACUAUGCCUGAAUAGGGUGAAGCCAGAGGAAACUCUGGUGGAGGCUCG
This 788-nucleotide ribosomal RNA is filed under the name Saccharomyces cf. bayanus/pastorianus. RNAcentral describes it as "LSU rRNA". It matches the Rfam family "Eukaryotic large subunit ribosomal RNA", at positions 74 to 877 of the family's 3401-position model. The record is from RNAcentral. Lineage: Eukaryota; Fungi; Ascomycota; Saccharomycetes; Saccharomycetales; Saccharomycetaceae.